Molecule: ribosomal RNA, 495 nt
Filed under: uncultured bacterium
Lineage: Bacteria
Description: partial 16S ribosomal RNA
Rfam family: Bacterial small subunit ribosomal RNA
Source: RNAcentral
GGCGAACGCUGGCGGCGUGCCUAAUACAUGCAAGUAGAACGCUGAAGGAGGAGCUUGCUUCUCUGGAUGAGUUGCGAACGGGUGAGUAACGCGUAGGUAACCUGCCUGGUAGCGGGGGAUAACUAUUGGAAACGAUAGCUAAUACCGCAUAAUAGUAGAUGUUGCAUGACAUUUGCUUAAAAGGUGCAAUUGCAUCACUACCAGAUGGACCUGCGUUGUAUUAGCUAGUUGGUGGGGUAACGGCUCACCAAGGCGACGAUACAUAGCCGACCUGAGAGGGGGGUCCGCCACACUGGGACUGAGACGCGGCCCAGACUCCUACGGGAGGCAGCAGUAGGGAAUCUUCGGCAAUGGACGGAAGGCUGGCCGAGCAACGCCGCGUGAGUGAAGAAGGUUUUCGGAUCGUAAAGCUCUGUUGUAAGGGAAGAACGAGUGUGAGAGUGGAAAGUUCGCACUGUGACGGUAUCUUACCAGAAAGGGACGGCUAACUACGUG